Molecule: ribosomal RNA, 2892 nt
Filed under: Shigella boydii
Lineage: Bacteria; Pseudomonadati; Pseudomonadota; Gammaproteobacteria; Enterobacterales; Enterobacteriaceae
Also listed under: 2 other names
Description: bacterial LSU rRNA
Rfam family: Bacterial large subunit ribosomal RNA
Source: RNAcentral
ACUAAGCGUACACGGUGGAUGCCCUGGCAGUCAGAGGCGAUGAAGGACGUGCUAAUCUGCGAUAAGCGUCGGUAAGGUGAUAUGAACCGUUAUAACCGGCGAUUUCCGAAUGGGGAAACCCAGUGUGUUUCGACACACUAUCAUUAACUGAAUCCAUAGGUUAAUGAGGCGAACCGGGGGAACUGAAACAUCUAAGUACCCCGAGGAAAAGAAAUCAACCGAGAUUCCCCCAGUAGCGGCGAGCGAACGGGGAGCAGCCCAGAGCCUGAAUCAGUGUGUGUGUUAGUGGAAGCGUCUGGAAAGGCGCGCGAUACAGGGUGACAGCCCCGUACACAAAAAUGCACAUGCUGUGAGCUCGAUGAGUAGGGCGGGACACGUGGUAUCCUGUCUGAAUAUGGGGGGACCAUCCUCCAAGGCUAAAUACUCCUGACUGACCGAUAGUGAACCAGUACCGUGAGGGAAAGGCGAAAAGAACCCCGGCGAGGGGAGUGAAAAAGAACCUGAAACCGUGUACGUACAAGCAGUGGGAGCCUCUUUAUGGGGUGACUGCGUACCUUUUGUAUAAUGGGUCAGCGACUUAUAUUCUGUAGCAAGGUUAACCGAAUAGGGGAGCCGAAGGGAAACCGAGUCUUAACUGGGCGUUAAGUUGCAGGGUAUAGACCCGAAACCCGGUGAUCUAGCCAUGGGCAGGUUGAAGGUUGGGUAACACUAACUGGAGGACCGAACCGACUAAUGUUGAAAAAUUAGCGGAUGACUUGUGGCUGGGGGUGAAAGGCCAAUCAAACCGGGAGAUAGCUGGUUCUCCCCGAAAGCUAUUUAGGUAGCGCCUCGUGAAUUCAUCUCCGGGGGUAGAGCACUGUUUCGGCAAGGGGGUCAUCCCGACUUACCAACCCGAUGCAAACUGCGAAUACCGGAGAAUGUUAUCACGGGAGACACACGGCGGGUGCUAACGUCCGUCGUGAAGAGGGAAACAACCCAGACCGCCAGCUAAGGUCCCAAAGUCAUGGUUAAGUGGGAAACGAUGUGGGAAGGCCCAGACAGCCAGGAUGUUGGCUUAGAAGCAGCCAUCAUUUAAAGAAAGCGUAAUAGCUCACUGGUCGAGUCGGCCUGCGCGGAAGAUGUAACGGGGCUAAACCAUGCACCGAAGCUGCGGCAGCGACGCUUAUGCGUUGUUGGGUAGGGGAGCGUUCUGUAAGCCUGUGAAGGUGUGCUGUGAGGCAUGCUGGAGGUAUCAGAAGUGCGAAUGCUGACAUAAGUAACGAUAAAGCGGGUGAAAAGCCCGCUCGCCGGAAGACCAAGGGUUCCUGUCCAACGUUAAUCGGGGCAGGGUGAGUCGACCCCUAAGGCGAGGCCGAAAGGCGUAGUCGAUGGGAAACAGGUUAAUAUUCCUGUACUUGGUGUUACUGCGAAGGGGGGACGGAGAAGGCUAUGUUGGCCGGGCGACGGUUGUCCCGGUUUAAGCGUGUAGGCUGAUUUUCCAGGCAAAUCCGGAAAAUCAAGGCUGAGGCGUGAUGACGAGGCACUACGGUGCUGAAGCAACAAAUGCCCUGCUUCCAGGAAAAGCCUCUAAGCAUCAGGUAACAUCAAAUCGUACCCCAAACCGACACAGGUGGUCAGGUAGAGAAUACCAAGGCGCUUGAGAGAACUCGGGUGAAGGAACUAGGCAAAAUGGUGCCGUAACUUCGGGAGAAGGCACGCUGAUAUGUAGGUGAAGUCCCUCGCGGAUGGAGCUGAAAUCAGUCGAAGAUACCAGCUGGCUGCAACUGUUUAUUAAAAACACAGCACUGUGCAAACACGAAAGUGGACGUAUACGGUGUGACGCCUGCCCGGUGCCGGAAGGUUAAUUGAUGGGGUCAGCGCAAGCGAAGCUCUUGAUCGAAGCCCCGGUAAACGGCGGCCGUAACUAUAACGGUCCUAAGGUAGCGAAAUUCCUUGUCGGGUAAGUUCCGACCUGCACGAAUGGCGUAAUGAUGGCCAGGCUGUCUCCACCCGAGACUCAGUGAAAUUGAACUCGCUGUGAAGAUGCAGUGUACCCGCGGCAAGACGGAAAGACCCCGUGAACCUUUACUAUAGCUUGACACUGAACAUUGAGCCUUGAUGUGUAGGAUAGGUGGGAGGCUUAGAAGUGUGGACGCCAGUCUGCAUGGAGCCGGCCUUGAAAUACCACCCUUUAAUGUUUGAUGUUCUAACGUGGACCCGUAAUCCGGGUUGCGGACAGUGUCUGGUGGGUAGUUUGACUGGGGCGGUCUCCUCCUAAAGAGUAACGGAGGAGCACGAAGGUUGGCUAAUCCUGGUCGGACAUCAGGAGGUUAGUGCAAUGGCAUAAGCCAGCUUGACUGCGAGCGUGACGGCGCGAGCAGGUGCGAAAGCAGGUCAUAGUGAUCCGGUGGUUCUGAAUGGAAGGGCCAUCGCUCAACGGAUAAAAGGUACUCCGGGGAUAACAGGCUGAUACCGCCCAAGAGUUCAUAUCGACGGCGGUGUUUGGCACCUCGAUGUCGGCUCAUCACAUCCUGGGGCUGAAGUAGGUCCCAAGGGUAUGGCUGUUCGCCAUUUAAAGUGGUACGCGAGCUGGGUUUAGAACGUCGUGAGACAGUUCGGUCCCUAUCUGCCGUGGGCGCUGGAGAACUGAGGGGGGCUGCUCCUAGUACGAGAGGACCGGAGUGGACGCAUCACUGGUGUUCGGGUUGUCAUGCCAAUGGCACUGCCCGGUAGCUAAAUGCGGAAGAGAUAAGUGCUGAAAGCAUCUAAGCACGAAACUUGCCCCGAGAUGAGUUCUCCCUGACUCCUUGAGAGUCCUGAAGGAACGUUGAAGACGACGACGUUGAUAGGCCGGGUGUGUAAGCGCAGCGAUGCGUUGAGCUAACCGGUACUAAUGAACCGUGAGGCUUAACC